UAUCCUAUAAAAUGUUUGAUUUCUCAGAGUGCCUGUACAGGACUGGUAACCCUGCUCUUUAGAGAAAGACAACAGGCAGGAAAUCCAGCCUCUCCAGUUGCUGCCAUGCUGGACUCCAAGACCAUUUGCUGGUACUUAGACUCCCUACCCACACACACACAGAGAACAGAGGUGAUCUAUUUUCUAACACCACUUCCUCCAUGGGCUGUCUUCAGGUUAAUAUAUGCACCACUUCUGAAGAAGAUAGUCCCUCUUAACCAAUAUCAGCCAUUAAGAAUUUGUUGUCUUUUAGUCUCAAUGCUGCUCUAACCUGUGUCUUUACCUUCUGGCAUGGAAAAAUGCCAAACACCCUUUGUGAAAGCCAGGUAGUAAACACCAAGUGACAAAACCAGAGACUGAACCUUACUGUUUGACAGAUUGAGCCAAAAUGACCAUUUCAUUGAAGCAGGUUUAGCCUAUGGAAAAAAGGCAGAACCUGGAGCAAUACUGUGCACUACUGUUCUGGAUCUUGGUAUGCCAGCAUAAAGAGAGGACUAAACAGAAACUGUUGGGCAAUUUUAAUGCUGUGUGUCAUUCAACAUCUCCCCAGGUUUUGUGCUCUUUGGCUAGUUUGUCUGUUUACACUGGCAGCCUGGUGGGAGUGGAUUUGCUCAGUGAAGCACUCAGUGCUAAAAUCCCACUUAGUUAAGUGUUCAAUGUCCUCUUUAUGGGACUCUAGAGGGAAGUUACUUCAGGCUUGUUCUAGUCUGUUCCGAGAGACUGACUGCCAGUUUGUGUCAAGAUUGUUGUCACUGUGUUCCUGGAAUGUAUUAUCUGGCAUAAUUUCAUCCAAAAGGAACCUAGUUCUUUGCUCUAAAACCUCUCCAUGCUGCACACCAGAAAGAAGGAAGUAGA
Molecule: long non-coding RNA, 894 nt
Organism: Oenanthe melanoleuca
Lineage: Eukaryota; Metazoa; Chordata; Aves; Passeriformes; Muscicapidae
Exons: 3
Source: RefSeq, a predicted model, not a curated record